UGGGGAAUUUUCCGCGAUGGGCGAAAGCCUGACGGAGCAAUACCGCGUGAGGGAGGAAGGCUUUUGGGUUGUAAACCUCUUUUCUCAAGGAAGAAGAUCUGACGGUACUUGAGGAAUCAGCAUCGGCUAACUCCGUGCCAGUAGCCGCGGUAAUACGGAGGAUGCAAGCGUUAUCCGGAAUGAUUGGGCGUAAAGCGUCUGCAGGUGGCUAUGCAAGUCUGCUGUUAAUGAGUGGAGCUCAACUCCAUAAGGGCAGUGGAAACUCCAUAACCAGAGUACGUUCGGUGUAGAGGGAAUUCCUGGUGUAGCGGUGAAAUGCGUAGAUAUCAGGAAGAACACCGGUGGCGAAAGCGCUCUACUAGGCCGUAACUGACACUGAGAGACGAAAGCUAAGGGAGCGAAUGGGAUUAGAUACCCCUGUAGUCC
RNAcentral lists this ribosomal RNA (426 nucleotides) under uncultured prokaryote. Its description in RNAcentral is "bacterial SSU rRNA". It matches the Rfam family "Bacterial small subunit ribosomal RNA", at positions 355 to 796 of the family's 1533-position model. The record is from RNAcentral.